UUUCCGUAGGUGAACCUGCGGAAGGAUCAUUCAUAAUAAGUGUUUUAUGGCACUUUUUUAAAUCCAUAUCCACCUUGUGUGCAAUGUCAGGGUUGAUUUUUCUCUCGAGAGGAUCAACCCCAAACAUCAACUAUAUCUCAACUCUUUGUCUGAAAAAUAUUAUGAAUAAAGCAAUUCAAAAUACAACUUUCAACAACGGAUCUCUUGGCUCUC
RNAcentral lists this unclassified non-coding RNA (213 nucleotides) under plant metagenome. Its description in RNAcentral is "partial contains small subunit ribosomal RNA, internal transcribed spacer 1, and 5.8S ribosomal RNA". The record is from RNAcentral.